AGUGAACGCUGGCGGUAGGCCUAACACAUGCAAGUCGAACGGCAGCACAGUAAGAGCUUGCUCUUACGGGUGGCGAGUGGCGGACGGGUGAGGAAUACAUCGGAAUCUACUUUUUCGUGGGGGAUAACGUAGGGAAACUUACUCUAAUACCGCAUACGACCUAUGGGUGAAAGCAGGGGAUCUUCGGACCUUGCGCGAUUGAAUGAGCCGAUGUCGGAUUAGCUAGUUGGCGGGGUAAAGGCCCACCAAGGCGACGAUCCGUAGCUGGUCUGAGAGGAUGAUCAGCCACACUGGAACUGAGACACGGUCCAGACUCCUACGGGAGGCAGCAGUGGGGAAUAUUGGACAAUGGGCGCAAGCCUGAUCCAGCCAUACCGCGUGGGUGAAGAAGGCCUUCGGGUUGUAAAGCCCUUUUGUUGGGAAAGAAAAGCAGCAGGUUAAUACCCCGCUGUUCUGACGGUACCCAAAGAAUAAGCACCGGCUAACUUCGUG
Molecule: ribosomal RNA, 492 nt
Filed under: uncultured bacterium
Lineage: Bacteria
Description: partial 16S ribosomal RNA
Rfam family: Bacterial small subunit ribosomal RNA
Source: RNAcentral